This 429-nucleotide ribosomal RNA is filed under the name Chloroflexota bacterium. RNAcentral's name for it is "Chloroflexi bacterium partial 16S ribosomal RNA". It matches the Rfam family "Bacterial small subunit ribosomal RNA", at positions 355 to 776 of the family's 1533-position model. Lineage: Bacteria; Bacillati; Chloroflexota. The record is from RNAcentral.
UGGGGAAUAUUGCACAAUGGGCGCAAGCCUGAUGCAGCCAUGCCGCGUGUAUGAAGAAGGCCUUCGGGUUGUAAAGUACUUUCAGCGGGGAGGAAGGGAGUAAAGUUAAUACCUUUGCUCAUUGACGUUACCCGCAGAAGAAGCACCGGCUAACUCCGUGCCAGCAGCCGCGGUAAUACGGAGGGUGCAAGCGUUAAUCGGAAUUACUGGGCGUAAAGCGCACGCAGGCGGUUUGUUAAGUCAGAUGUGAAAUCCCCGGGCUCAACCUGGGAACUGCCUCUGAUACUGGCAAGCUUGAGGCUCGUAGAGAGGGGUAGAAUUCCAGGUGUAGCGGUGAAAUGCGUAGAGAUCUGGAGAAAUACCGGUGGCGAAGGCGGCCCCCUGGACUAAGACUGACGCUCAGGUGCGAAAGCGUGGGGAGCAACCAGG